UACGUAGGGUGCGAGCGUUGUCCGGAAUUACUGGGCGUAAAGAGCUCGUAGGUGGUUUGUCGCGUUGUUCGUGAAAACCUGAGGCUUAACCUUGGGCGUGCGGGCGAUACGGGCAGACUGGAGUACUGCAGGGGAGACUGGAAUUCCUGGUGUAGCGGUGGAAUGCGCAGAUAUCAGGAGGAACACCGGUGGCGAAGGCGGGUCUCUGGGCCGAUACUGACGCUGAGGAGCGAAAGCGUGGGGAGCGAACAGG
RNAcentral lists this ribosomal RNA (253 nucleotides) under uncultured bacterium. RNAcentral describes it as "partial 16S ribosomal RNA". It matches the Rfam family "Bacterial small subunit ribosomal RNA", at positions 524 to 776 of the family's 1533-position model. The record is from RNAcentral.